UUUAAAUUUAGAGUUUGAUCCUGGCUCAGGACGAACGCUGGCGGCGUGCUUAACACAUGCAAGUCGAGCGAUGAAGCUUCCUUCGGGAAGUGGAUUAGCGGCGGACGGGUGAGUAACACGUGGGUAACCUGCCUCAAAGUGGGGGAUAGCCUUCCGAAAGGAAGAUUAAUACCGCAUAAUAUGAGAGAAUCGCAUGAUUU
This 200-nucleotide ribosomal RNA is filed under the name Clostridium botulinum. RNAcentral's name for it is "partial 16S ribosomal RNA". It matches the Rfam family "Bacterial small subunit ribosomal RNA", at positions 1 to 196 of the family's 1533-position model. Lineage: Bacteria; Bacillati; Bacillota; Clostridia; Eubacteriales; Clostridiaceae. The record is from RNAcentral.